Molecule: ribosomal RNA, 398 nt
Filed under: uncultured bacterium
Lineage: Bacteria
Description: bacterial SSU rRNA
Rfam family: Bacterial small subunit ribosomal RNA
Source: RNAcentral
GAAUGAACGCUGGCGGCGCGCCUAAUACAUGCAAGUCGAGCGAGAAGACGUAGCAAUACGUUUGUAAAGCGGCGAGCGGGUGAGGAAUACAUGGGUAACCUACCCUCGAGUGGGGAAUAACUAGCCGAAAGGUUAGCUAAUACCGCGUACGCUUCUUGGACUUCGGUUCAGGGAGGAAAGCGAUGCCGAGGGUAUCGCGCUCUUGGAUGGGCUCAUGUCCCAUUAGCUAGUUGGGAGGUAACGGCUCACCAAGGCGACGAUGGGUAGCCGGCCUGAGAGGGGUGUCCGGCCACACUGGGACUGAGAUACGGCCCAGACUCCUACGGGAGGCAGCAGUGAGGAAUAUUGGUCAAUGGCCGAAAAGGCUGAACCAGCAACGCCGCGUGAGGGAUGAAGAU